AAGUCGUAACAAGGUUUCCGUAGGUGAACCUGCGGAAGGAUCAUUACCUAGAGUUUGUGGGCUUUGCCCGCUACCUCUUACCCAUGUCUUUUGCGUACCUAUGUUUCCUCGGUGGGCUUGCCCGCCGGCUGGACAAACUUAUAACCUUUUUAAUUUUCAAUCAGCGUCUGAAUAAACAUAAUAAUUACAACUUUCAACAACGGAUCUCUUGGUUCUC
Molecule: unclassified non-coding RNA, 217 nt
Filed under: fungal sp.
Lineage: Eukaryota; Fungi
Description: partial internal transcribed spacer region
Rfam family: Eukaryotic small subunit ribosomal RNA (bases 1-46)
Source: RNAcentral